UACAGAGGUCUCAAGCGUUGUUCGGAUUUAUUGGGCGUAAAGGGCGCGUAGGCGGUGCGGUAAGUCACCUGUGAAAUCUCCUGGCUUAACUGGGAGCCUGCAGGCGAAACUACCGUGCUGGAGUGUGGGAGAGGUGCGUGGAAUUCCCGGUGUAGCGGUGAAAUGCGUAGAUAUCGGGGGGAACACCAGUGGCGAAGGCGGCUCACUGGCCCGAUACUGACGCUGAGGCACGAAAGCGUGGGGAGCAAACAGG
This 253-nucleotide ribosomal RNA is filed under the name uncultured bacterium. RNAcentral describes it as "partial 16S ribosomal RNA". It matches the Rfam family "Bacterial small subunit ribosomal RNA", at positions 524 to 776 of the family's 1533-position model. The record is from RNAcentral.